RNAcentral lists this ribosomal RNA (512 nucleotides) under uncultured bacterium. RNAcentral describes it as "partial 16S ribosomal RNA". It matches the Rfam family "Bacterial small subunit ribosomal RNA", at positions 28 to 523 of the family's 1533-position model. The record is from RNAcentral.
GACGAACGCUGGCGGCGUGCCUAAUACAUGCAAGUCGAGCGGAACUGGGGGAGCUUGCUCCUCCCAGUUUAGCGGCGGACGGGUGAGUAACACGUGGGCAACCUGCCCUGCAGAUCGGGAUAACUCCGGGAAACCGGUGCUAAUACCGAAUAGUUUGGCGCCUCUCCUGAGGCGCUACGGCAAGCCGGUUUCGGCUGUCACUGCAGGAGGGGCCCGCGGCGCAUUAGCUAGGUGGUGGGGUAACAGCCCACCAAGGCGACGAUGCGUAGCCGGCCUGAGAGGGUGACCGGCCACACUGGGACUGAGACACGGCCCAGACUCCUACGGGAGGCAGCAGUAAGGAAUCUUCCGCAAUGGACGCAAGUCUGACGGAGCAACGCCGCGUGAGUGACGAAGGUUUUCGGAUCGUAAAACUCUGUUGUGAGGGAAGAACACGUACCAACUAACUAUUGGUACCUUGACGGUACCUCACCAGAAAGCCACGGCUAACUACGUGCCAGCAGCCGCGGUAA